GCUUAACACAUGCAAGUCGAGGGGCAGCAUUUCAGUUUGCUUGCAAACUGGAGAUGGCGACCGGCGCACGGGUGAGUAACACGUAUCCAACCUGCCGAUAACUCGGGGAUAGCCUUUCGAAAGAAAGAUUAAUACCCGAUGGUAUAAUCAGACCGCAUGGUCUUGUUAUUAAAGAAUUUCGGUUAUCGAUGGGGAUGCGUUCCAUUAGGCAGUUGGUGAGGUAACGGCUCACCAAACCUUCGAUGGAUAGGGGUUCUGAGAGGAAGGUCCCCCACAUUGGAACUGAGACACGGUCCAAACUCCUACGGGAGGCAGCAGUGAGGAAUAUUGGUCAAUGGGCGCAGGCCUGAACCAGCCAAGUAGCGUGAAGGAUGACUGCCCUAUGGGUUGUAAACUUCUUUUAUAUGGGAAUAAAGUUUUCCACGUGUGGAAUUUUGUAUGUACCAUAUGAAUAAGGAUCGGCUAACUCCGUGCCAGCAGCCGCGGUAAUACGGAGGAUCCGAGCGUUAUCCGGAUUUAUUGGGUUUAAAGGGAGCGUAGGUGGACAGUUAAGUCAGUUGUGAAAGUUUGCGGCUCAACCGUAAAAUUGCAGUUGAUACUGGCUGUCUUGAGUACAGUAGAGGUGGGCGGAAUUCGUGGUGUAGCGGUGAAAUGCCUAGAUAUCACGAAGAACUCCGAUUGCGAAGGCAGCUCACUGGACUGCAACUGACACUGAUGCUCGAAAGUGUGGGUAUCAAACAGGAUUAGAUACCCUGGUAGUCCACACAGUAAACGAUGAAUACUCGCUGUUUGCGAUAUACAGUAAGCGGCCAAGCGAAAGCAUUAAGUAUUCCACCUGGGGAGUACGCCGGCAACGGUGAAACUCAAAGGAAUUGACGGGGGCCCGCACAAGCGGAGGAACAUGUGGUUUAAUUCGAUGAUACGCGAGGAACCUUACCCGGGCUUAAAUUGCAUUUGAAUAUAUUGGAAACAGUAUAGCCGUAAGGCAAAUGUGAAGGUGCUGCAUGGUUGUCGUCAGCUCGUGCCGUGAGGUGUCGGCUUAAGUGCCAUAACGAGCGCAACCCUUAUCUUUAGUUACUAACAGGUCAUGCUGAGGACUCUAGAGAGACUGCCGUCGUAAGAUGUGAGGAAGGUGGGGAUGACGUCAAAUCAGCACGGCCCUUACGUCCGGGGCUACACACGUGUUACAAUGGGGGGUACAGAAGGCAGCUACCUGGUGACAGGAUGCUAAUCCCAAAAGCCUCUCUCAGUUCGGAUCGAAGUCUGCAACCCGACUUCGUGAAGCUGGAUUCGCUAGUAAUCGCGCAUCAGCCAUGGCGCGGUGAAUACGUUCCCGGGCCUUGUACACACCGCCCGUCAAGCCAUGAAAGCCGGGGGUACCUGAAGUACGUAACCGCAAGGAGCGUCCUAGGGUAAAACUGGUAAUUGGGGC
This 1432-nucleotide ribosomal RNA is filed under the name uncultured organism. RNAcentral's name for it is "16S ribosomal RNA". It matches the Rfam family "Bacterial small subunit ribosomal RNA". The record is from RNAcentral.